Molecule: ribosomal RNA, 254 nt
Filed under: uncultured bacterium
Lineage: Bacteria
Description: partial 16S ribosomal RNA
Rfam family: Bacterial small subunit ribosomal RNA
Source: RNAcentral
UACGUAGGGGCCUAGCGUUGUCCGGAAUUAUUGGGCGUAAAGAGCUCGUAGGCGGUUCGGCAAGUCGGAUGUGAAAUCUCCACGCUUAACGUGGAGGGGCCAUUCGAAACUGCUGUGACUCGAGUCCGGUAGGGGAGUGUGGAAUUCCCGGUGUAGCGGUGAAAUGCGCAGAUAUCGGGAGGAACACCAGUAGCGAAGGCGGCACUCUGGGACGGUACUGACGCUGAGACGCGAAAGCGUGGGGAGCGAACAGG